CAUUGGUUCAUUCCUACAAUAUUAGCAUGACAGCAGAUGAGCCAAUGUCAGAACAGUGUGUGAUACCUGAUUUCCCUCGAGAGGAGAGAUGUGUGCAGAGUUAUGAAGAAUUGUGUGCCUCCUGAGCUUCCCAAAUUCUUCUGAUGUGAUCCUGUUGGAGCUGGGAUUCCUGGUGAACUUCAU
This is a long non-coding RNA of Rhea pennata, 183 nucleotides long. RefSeq lists it as uncharacterized. The transcript is spliced from 3 exons. NCBI's taxonomy places the organism in Eukaryota, Metazoa, Chordata, Aves, Rheiformes, Rheidae. The record is from RefSeq and is a predicted model, not a curated record.